CUUUCUGUAAAAUUCCACUCAUAUAUGUUUGGCAGGUCUGAAUAUCGUCGGUUUGUGACUCAAGAAAUAUGAGGGAACAGAUAUCGGAGUAGAUCAUGGAGUCAAAAGUUUUUCUUAUAUGAGGCCGGGUUAUAUACAUUGUUGUCAGAGUGGAUUUGGAGGAAGGACUCCUGUUCGAGCAUUAGGUUGGUUCCAUAUGUGUCGAUGUAGGAUUCGGUGGGGAAGUCAAUAACAUCGGAUGUGCCAUUUGUGGCGAUAAGUUCGAGACCGAUAGCGCACAAGUA
Molecule: ribosomal RNA, 284 nt
Filed under: uncultured eukaryote
Lineage: Eukaryota
Description: partial large subunit ribosomal RNA
Source: RNAcentral